This 534-nucleotide ribosomal RNA is filed under the name Triticum aestivum (bread wheat). RNAcentral describes it as "partial small subunit ribosomal RNA". The record is from RNAcentral. Lineage: Eukaryota; Viridiplantae; Streptophyta; Magnoliopsida; Poales; Poaceae.
GAGCCGUUUGAAGCAGGCCAGCCAGCAGCCGCCCCUGUUCCUCCUCUCACUCGGCUUUUCCCUCUCCUUCUCUCUCAAUUUUCACCAUUGACAACCCCCGCAGCACCCGGCCCGCCAUCUUCGGCCACCUCUUCGUCGGCCUCGUGCUCCUCCGCCUCGAUCCGUCCGCCGCGCCACCGGAUCCACGCCGGAGCAGCCGGAUCCGCGGCCUCCUGCCUCGUCUGCCGUCGGGAGAGCCGCCUCACGCAGGCCAACCGUCUACUCCUCUUCUCUGGGCUUUUCCCCCCUUCUCUCUCUNNNNNNNUCUCUCUCAUCUCCGUUUUCUCCAGGGAAGGAAGUGGCCAUGGAUCACAACCCGCAGCACCCCUGCUCUCGUUGCCGGAAACCUCUCUGUCGGCCUCGAGCUCCUCCGCCUCGAUCCGUUUGUACGACCCGCCGCCACCUCCUGCAUCGCCUGUCGUCUGGAGGAGGACGACCGAGAGUAGUGCCCGUUCGUCCGCCGCGUGGACUGGCUCAGCCCAGCUCGCCCGCUAA